AUACGUAGGUGGCAAGCGUUGUCCGGAAUGAUUGGGCGUAAAGGGCGCGUAGGCGGCCCGGUAAGUCUGGAGUGAAAGUCCUGUUUUUAAGAUGGGAAUUGCUUUGGAUACUGUCGGGCUAGAGUGCUGAAGAGGUAAGCGGAAUUCCCAGUGUAGCGGUGAAAUGCGUAGAGAUUGGGAAGAACACCAGUGGCGAAGGCGGCUUACUGGGCUGUAACUGACGCUGAGGCGCGAAAGCGUGGGGAGCGAACAGGAUUAGAUACCCUGGUAGUCCACGCUGUAAACGAUGAAUGCUAGGUGUAGGGGGUAUCGACCCCUCCUGUGCCGGAGUAAACGCAAUAAGCAUUCCGCCUGGGGAGUACGGCCGCAAGGUUGAAACUCAAAUGAAUUGGCGGGG
This 397-nucleotide ribosomal RNA is filed under the name uncultured bacterium. Its description in RNAcentral is "partial 16S ribosomal RNA". It matches the Rfam family "Bacterial small subunit ribosomal RNA", at positions 523 to 918 of the family's 1533-position model. The record is from RNAcentral.